CAGCAGGAGUGCAAGGAAGAGAAGAAACGGCCGUGUAAAGGUAGUGGCGGCGUGGGCCAUGGCAAGAGAGUCAGCUUUAACGGUAGAGUCGGUGUGGUGUACAGGCAGUCUCGUCAAUCCCUAUCCACUCUGAUGUCUAAAUAGAAUUUACUCUAUUAUUUCGUACUGUGCCAGGUGUUUUCUUGAAUCUUGUGUAUGUCGGCACAGGAGUUUGUAUUUGUUUAUUUGUCUUGUGACCGCUGUGUUAGCGGGGUACCUACAGUGCAUGCAUGUCUUGAGCUUUGCU
Molecule: long non-coding RNA, 286 nt
Organism: Diospyros lotus (date-plum)
Lineage: Eukaryota; Viridiplantae; Streptophyta; Magnoliopsida; Ericales; Ebenaceae
Exons: 2
Source: RefSeq, a predicted model, not a curated record